UCAUUACAUUCAGUAGCCCAGCUACUUGUUUACACCCUUGUCUUUUUGCGUACUUAUCGUUUCCUCGGCGGGCUUGCCUGCCGGUUGGACAACUUUAUAACCUUUUUAAAUCUUCAAUCAGCGUCUGAAUAAUAUACAAUAAUUACAACUUUCAACAACGGAUCUCUUGGUUCUGGCAUCGAUGAAGAACGCAGCGAAAUGCGAUAAGUAGUGUGAAUUGCAGAAUUCAGUGAAUCAUCGAAUCUUUGAACGCACAUUGCGCCCCUUGGUAUUCCAUGGGGCAUGCCUGUUCGAGCGUCAUUUGUACCUUCAAGCUUUGCUUGGUGUUGGGUGCUUGUCUUUUUGUUAAGACUCACCUCAAAGUCAUUGGCAGCCAGUGUUUUGGUAGUAAGCGCAGCACAUUUUGCGUCUUGGUUCCUUAACAGCAGCAUCCAUCAAGCCAUUUUCUCACUUUUGACCUCGGAUCAGGUAGGGAUACCCGCU
This 483-nucleotide ribosomal RNA is filed under the name fungal sp. E15101C. RNAcentral describes it as "eukaryotic LSU rRNA". The stretch from base 147 to 300 matches the Rfam family "5.8S ribosomal RNA". Lineage: Eukaryota; Fungi. The record is from RNAcentral.